RNAcentral lists this ribosomal RNA (502 nucleotides) under uncultured bacterium. RNAcentral describes it as "partial 16S ribosomal RNA". It matches the Rfam family "Bacterial small subunit ribosomal RNA", at positions 899 to 1397 of the family's 1533-position model. The record is from RNAcentral.
ACUCAAAGGAAUUGACGGGGACCCGCACAAGCGGUGGAACAUGUGGUUUAAUUCGAGGCAACGCGAAGAACCUUACCAGGACUUGACAUGCCCUCUAUGGGAUUGAGAGAUCAAUCCCUUCACUUCGGGUGGGAGGUGCACAGGUGCUGCAUGGCUGUCGUCAGCUCGUGUCGUGAGAUGUUGGGUUAAGUCCCGCAACGAGCGCAACCCUCAUCCUCUGUUGCUAACAGGUAAUGCUGAGAACUCUGAGGAAACUGCCGGUGAUAAGCCGGAGGAAGGUGGGGAUGACGUCAAGUCCUCAUGGCCCUUACGUCCUGGGCUACACACGUGUUACAAUGGCAGUGACAAUGGGCAGCUACUCCGCGAGGAGAUGCUAAUCCCAAAAAGCUGCCUCAGUUCGGAUUGUACUCUGCAACUCGAGUACAUGAAGUUGGAAUCGCUAGUAAUCGCGCAUCAGCUCGGCGCGGUGAAUACGUUCCCGGGUCUUGUACACACCGCCCGU